This 241-nucleotide ribosomal RNA is filed under the name uncultured bacterium. RNAcentral describes it as "partial 16S ribosomal RNA". It matches the Rfam family "Bacterial small subunit ribosomal RNA", at positions 1253 to 1500 of the family's 1533-position model. The record is from RNAcentral.
CCGGGCGACCGGAUGCGGAUCUCGAAAGCCUGUCCCAGUUCGGACUGGAGUCUGCAACCCGACUCCACGAAGUUGGAUUCGCUAGUAAUCGCGCAUCAGCCAUGGCGCGGUGAAUACGUUCCCGGGCCUUGUACACACCGCCCGUCAAGCCAUGGGAGGCCGGGGGGCGCCUGAAGUCCGGGACCGCGAGGACCGGCCUAGGGCGAAACUGGUAACUGGGGCUAAGUCGUAACAAGGUAUC